CUCUCUCUCUCUCUCUCUCUCGCUCUCUCUCUCUUUCUAUUAUCUAUCUAUCUAUCUAUCUAUCUAUAUAUCUACUAUUACAUGAUAUAAAAAUCCUUUCUUUGACUGUUCUUUAAAUUUAUGGGUCCAUCAGGCAAUUGCUGCAAGCUAUCUUCUAAGCUGUUAAUGGUUUUGCUAGCCGUUCCUACCAGAAACUAGAUGAAGUUACCAAUAAACAAAAAUUCAUGCAUGGACAAUUCUAGUGAGCUUAAUUUAAAUAUACUAGCACUGACUCUGUUAGAUUUGGAGAGACACUUACCCCAAGCACCAUUGGGUGUGGUUAGCCCUUACCUAAAGUAGAUUAGGAACAAUCUAGUUGUCUAACAUCAGGAACUGGAAGGAUUGGCUACCACUUUUGCAUUUAGACCUUUUUGGCAGUAAGGUUCACAUGGUUUUGGGCUCGGAUUGUGACAUCCCUAGUUUGGGUUUCUUCACCUGGUUUGGGGCACAGAUUGUGGCACACCUGGUUUGAACUUCUACUCACAGUCACCAACAUGGUGACCGAGCAUAAACACACGCUAGUUCUUGCGAGAAAUUAGAUAUGGCAGCCUUGGAAGAAUUAACUUUAGGCUGUUAACCUUGAGUGGUUUCAUGAUGAAAGCAGUAAAGCUUGAGGAUAUUUGCGGAAGAUAUGAGAGAGGCAAAGGGAACUACAGUAAAUAGUUAAUCAUGCAUUACUCCAAUCUUGCAUCCAGAUUAUGUAGUUUGGUUUAGACUACAAUAGGAGUUACUUUGUGACUCUUGUGCAUCUGGUCCUUGUUAAGUGAACAUUCAAGAGCUUGCUUUCUGUCAUAGGAAUAAAGGUAACCAUCUUAAUAUUCCUUCAUAUUUGUGGGAUCUAAGUAUCGAUGAGGAGUUUGCAUCUCUUAUGUAGGUAAGUUAGAACUGAUCUAAUUCUCGCCUUAUAUUCUGCAGGCAUUAGUGUGUACAAUUAUAAUCCUGAUCACACUCGCCGCCAUUUUUCUCUAGAUCAACCAUUUGUUUGUCACACUGUCAAGUACUGUCCUUUCUGCACAGUGAAGUGAAGAAGAACAUGAAGCUUCAUGGUAAGCUCUGUGAGGGAGAGCAUAAUGAUUGAUAUUUCAGAUUAUAUUUCCUAUUCUACCCCAUGUAACCUUAUUGCAUAUAUGGUUUGAAUACUGCAAUCAUCAUUUGUCGAAUGGGUGAUUGACAAUGUCUCUUGGACAACUAUGUUUAUUGGAUUAUGUUUCGACCUGUACUAACUAUAUGUUCAUUUCAUAUCUAUCUUUGUGAAGAUAGGUACCUUGCUGGUUACUACUAUCUUCCUCUGUGCACAAUGAUUUUGACUUACAAGAUGGAUGCACCGACACAUGCUACCAUUGUCUAUCGUUUGCCACCUGACAUAAUCUGUUGUUUGGUCUGGAGUUCAAUCUUUCAAAUGCUAAUUGUUUAUUUUUUGACUCCCACUUGAUGCAAUUUGUAGUUUUGGUCUAGUUUUGGUGAUAUAUAGUCCAAUCUUUGCAACAGAUAGGCUUGGUAGAGUUCUAAAACAAUAGAUUAAGGAAAAAAAUGGGUUUGGGCUUUCGGAAUGGAGUUACUGCCUACAUUUUGUGAACCUUGGGAUGUUAGUUCUGGCCAUGAGAAGAAAUAAGAUUUUUGAAGUGUAGAUUCCACUGGAAGGCUCCAUGACACUAACAAUAUAUUAUUAGGCAUGUUUCCUAAAGAUUUAUAGAUGUUAUAGUUACAUGAAGUGAGUUGAUUAGUGUUAAUGGAGUGAGAAGAGGGAGCGUCUGGAGUGAAAGACUUAUACUAGAAACAAUAAGAAGGAAUUUAAAUGAUCUUUGAUUGAAUAGAGAGAUUGUCUUGUAUAUAGUUACUGAUGGAGAAGAUCCAUGUAAUCAAACCCAAAUAAUUGAGACAUCAUUGCUUCUUACACUCAUAACAACACAUUCAUUUCUUUUUUCAGAAGCAUGUUAAGCUUAAAGUGGACAUAUAGAUGCUGUGCUUAGAUAAGUUAAUUAGUAUUAGUGGUCCCAGGAAAGAAACAACAGACUUGAGAAUAUUUUUAUUAGAAACAGUAAGAAGUGAUAGGAAGAUCUUUAGUUUUAAGUAGUGAUAUUGUCUUGUACAGAGAUCAAUGAUAGAAAAAUGUUGAUAUGGCUUUGGACUUCAUAUGUUGAGACAUCACAGCCUCUCCUAGAUGAAUUCCUGAGGCCAGGUAAAAAUGUGUUAUCCGUGUGUAUCUUCCAGAAGUGUUAGCUGCACAUUCUGUUAAUGUUGAAUCAUAGCACCUCUCCAAAGUGUGCAAUGCGUCUUUAGUCACUGGGCCAUGUAUUAAUGGAAGGAAAAAAAGUUCAAAUGCAAAAGUUGUGUUAUGCAAGUAGGAUUUUUUUCUUUAUUCGAAGACUGAAUUUUCUUGUUCGAGUAAUGUGCAUUCGGUAAGUUUCAACUAAAUAAAAUUCUGAUAAGGAUUAUUUAGUAAAAUUUUAAGCAAAAUCAGUUUAGCAUAGUGCAUUUUACCUGAUAGAUUUAGGUGAAGAAUGUAUGAACGACAACGAAUCCAUAUGAUUUUACCAAACAAUCAACAAUGUAGCAUUAAUAUAUAUUUCAUGAUCUUGUCAGUAACAAGAUGCGGGUUCGAGGAAGGAAAUAAGAAGAGAAGGUGUUUUUAUUGAAGAUUAGGUCAUCUUGCAUGGAAGGAGUCAAUGUGUUAAUUAGAGUUUUAUUCUUUGUUUGAUUAUUUUUAUUUUUUUUUUAAAUUUAUUUAUAUUACAAAAAAAAAAA
This 2784-nucleotide long non-coding RNA is filed under the name Musa acuminata (dwarf banana). Its description in RNAcentral is "long non-coding RNA (MACU_LNC011732)". The record is from RNAcentral. Lineage: Eukaryota; Viridiplantae; Streptophyta; Magnoliopsida; Zingiberales; Musaceae.